This 252-nucleotide ribosomal RNA is filed under the name uncultured bacterium. Its description in RNAcentral is "partial 16S ribosomal RNA". It matches the Rfam family "Bacterial small subunit ribosomal RNA", at positions 524 to 776 of the family's 1533-position model. The record is from RNAcentral.
UACGUAGGUCCCGAGCGUUGUCCGGAUUUAUUGGGCGUAAAGCGAGCGCAGGUGGUUUAUUAAGUCUGGUGUAAAAGGCAGUGGCUCAACCAUUGUAUGCAUUGGAAACUGGUAGACUUGAGUGCAGGAGAGGAGAGUGGAAUUCCAUGUGUAGCGGUGAAAUGCGUAGAUAUAUGGAGGAACACCGGUGGCGAAAGCGGCUCUCUGGCCUGUAAUUGACACUGAGGCUCGAAAGCGUGGGUAGCAAACAGG